This 900-nucleotide ribosomal RNA is filed under the name uncultured bacterium. Its description in RNAcentral is "bacterial SSU rRNA". It matches the Rfam family "Bacterial small subunit ribosomal RNA", at positions 1 to 895 of the family's 1533-position model. The record is from RNAcentral.
UUAUUCUAGAGUUUGAUCAUGGCUCAGAUUGAACGCUGGCGGCAGGCUUAACACAUGCAAGUCGAGCGGGGAAAAGUAGCUUGCUACUUAACUUAGCGGCGGACGGGUGAGUAAUACUUAGGAAUCUACCUAAUAGUGGGGGACAACAUUUCGAAAGGGAUGCUAAUACCGCAUACGCCCUACGGGGGAAAGCAGGGGAUCUUCGGACCUUGCGCUAAUAGAUGAGCCUAAGUCGGAUUAGCUAGUUGGUGGGGUAAAGGCCUACCAAGGCGACGAUCUGUAGCGGGUCUGAGAGGAUGAUCCGCCACACUGGGACUGAGACACGGCCCAGACUCCUACGGGAGGCAGCAGUGGGGAAUAUUGGACAAUGGGGGGAACCCUGAUCCAGCCAUGCCGCGUGUGUGAAGAAGGCCUUUUGGUUGUAAAGCACUUUAAGCGAGGAGGAGGCUCCCAGUAUUAAUACUACUGGAGAGUGGACGUUACUCGCAGAAUAAGCACCGGCUAACUCUGUGCCAGCAGCCGCGGUAAUACAGAGGGUGCAAGCGUUAAUCGGAUUUACUGGGCGUAAAGCGUGCGUAGGUGGCCAAUUAAGUCAGAUGUGAAAUCCCCGAGCUUAACUUGGGAAUUGCAUUCGAUACUGGUUGGCUAGAGUAUGGGAGAGGAUGGUAGAAUUCCAGGUGUAGCGGUGAAAUGCGUAGAGAUCUGGAGGAAUACCGAUGGCGAAGGCAGCCAUCUGGCCUAAUACUGACACUGAGGUACGAAAGCAUGGGGAGCAAACAGGAUUAGAUACCCUGGUAGUCCAUGCCGUAAACGAUGUCUACUAGCCGUUGGGGUCUUUGAGACUUUAGUGGCGCAGCUAACGCGAUAAGUAGACCGCCUGGGGAGUACGGCCGCAAGACU